UGUCAUAUUCCAACUUUAUUCAAUGCAUAAAGAUUGUGUAUGACACAUGUCGUUUUAAUCGUCCUCUAAAGAAAUCCCUAUCUUGUCUAUGAAUUCCGGUGUUAAUAUUUGGUAUUU
Maniola jurtina (meadow brown) is the source of this 117-nucleotide long non-coding RNA. RefSeq lists it as uncharacterized. The record is from RefSeq and is a predicted model, not a curated record. Lineage: Eukaryota; Metazoa; Arthropoda; Insecta; Lepidoptera; Nymphalidae. The transcript has 3 exons.